This 253-nucleotide ribosomal RNA is filed under the name uncultured bacterium. RNAcentral describes it as "partial 16S ribosomal RNA". It matches the Rfam family "Bacterial small subunit ribosomal RNA", at positions 524 to 776 of the family's 1533-position model. The record is from RNAcentral.
UACGGAGGGCGCGAGCGUUAGGCGGAAUCACUGGGCUUAAAGCGUGUGUAGGCGGAUGCCUAAGUGCCUUGUGAAAUCCCACGGCUUAACCGUGGAAUUGCUGGGCAUACUGGGUGUCUUGAGCCACUCAGGGGCUACCGGAACAAAUGGUGGAGCGGUGAAAUGCGUAGAUAUCAUUUGGAACGCCAAUGGUGAAAACAGGUAGCUGGGGGUGUGCUGACACUCAGACACGAAAGCCAGGGGAGCAAACAGG